UAAACGGACCAUCGAGUAUCCAUUGGAGGGCAAGUCUGGUGCCAGCAGCUGCGGUAAUACCAGCUCCAAUAGCGUAUAUUAAAGUUGUUGCAGUUAAAAAGCUCGUAGUUGGACUUGUGUGCGCUGUCCGCGGGUGGCCUGCGCCCAAAAGGGCGUUUCGGUUCGGCCCCGGUGGCGCCUUGAAAUCUGCAGCUGGGGGGACGUUGGCCUUAACUGGUCGGCGACCGCACGCCGGCUGCUCAGUUACUGUGAGAAAAUUAGAGUGUUCAAGGCAGGCAUUGGGUGCAAUUGAAUACAUUAGCAUGGAAUAAUAAAAUAUGGCUCCUGCCGUAUUUUGUUGGUUUUGACUGGUGGGAGUAAUGAUUGAUAGGGACGGUUGGGGGUGCUAGUAUUGAGCGGCCAGAGGUGAAAUUCAUGGAUUCGCUCAAGACUAACUUAUGCGAAAGCAUUCACCAAGGACGUCCUCUUUAAUCAAGAACGAAAGUUGGGGGAUCGAAGACGAUCAGAUACCGUCGUAGUCUCAACCAUAAACUAUGUCGACUUGGGAUCGGCGGUAGUUUUUUCAUUAAGACACUGUCGGGACCACGGGAGAAAUCAAAGUGUCUGGACUCUGGGGGAAGUAUGGUCGCAAGGCUGAAACUUGAAGGAAUUGACGGAAGGGCACCACCAGGAGUGGAGCCUGCGGCUUAAUUUGACCCAACACGGGGAAACUUACCAGGUCCAGAGAUGUAGAGGAUUGACAGAUUGAAGCUCUUUCUUGAUCGCUUCGGUGGUGGUGCAUGGCCGUUCUUAGUUGGUGGAGUGAUUUGUCUGGUUAAUUCCGUUAACGAACGAGACCUCAGCCUGCUAGUGUAGUCGGCUGGAUUGCCUUUGGCGAUCCGUGAUUUCGACUUCUUAGAGGGACAAUCGACGCGCAGUCGAUGGAAGUUUGAGGCAAUAACAGGUCUGUGAUGCCCUUAGAUGUUCUGGGCCGCACGCGCGCUACACUGCUGGGCUCAGCGAGUUUUACUUGGCCGAGAGGCCCGGUUAAUCUUGUGAAAUCCCAGCGUUCUUGGGCUCGCCUCCUGCAACUGGAGGCGCCAACGAGGAAUUCCUAGUAGACGCAGGUCAUCAACCUGCAUCGAUUACGUCCCUGCCCUUUGUACACACCGCCCGUCGUUCCAUAAGAGUGAGGCAUCCGGUGAAUUCUCGGGAGAGCCUGGGCGUGGCCAGCAAUGGUCUGCUCGGGUUUGAACUUGCAUAAACUUGGUGCCUAUGAUUAGGG
Molecule: ribosomal RNA, 1264 nt
Filed under: metagenome
Description: SSU rRNA
Rfam family: Eukaryotic small subunit ribosomal RNA
Source: RNAcentral